Molecule: ribosomal RNA, 234 nt
Filed under: uncultured bacterium
Lineage: Bacteria
Description: partial 16S ribosomal RNA
Rfam family: Bacterial small subunit ribosomal RNA
Source: RNAcentral
UACGGGGGGGCAAGCGUUGUUCGGAAUUACUGGGCGUAAAGGGCGCGUAGGCGGCACUGUUAGUCAGGCGUGAAAGUCCUGGGCUCAACCUGGGAACUGCGCUUGAUACGGCAGAGCUAGAGGAUGGAAGAGGUCGCGGAAUUCCCAGUGUAGAGGUGAAAUUCGUAGAUAUUGGGAAGAACACCGGUGGCGAAGGCGGCGACCUGGUCCAUUACUGACGCUGAGGCGCGACAG